This 601-nucleotide unclassified non-coding RNA is filed under the name Hevea brasiliensis (rubber tree). The record is from RNAcentral. Lineage: Eukaryota; Viridiplantae; Streptophyta; Magnoliopsida; Malpighiales; Euphorbiaceae.
GAUUUGUAGAUGAAGGCAUAUAAAACAGAGCAGUCAUGGUGGAAACUGACAAGAGGGAAGACAGAGUCUUGGACUGUUAUUGGUAAUCUGGUCUAUAAUCAGAGAUUUGCCAUAUUUAUUGGCAUGAAAAUGGCCUUGGGAUUCGAAUUGGGUGGGCUCGCUUUUUACUACCCAACAAUUUUCCCUUCCCCAUAUCAUCCUUCCCGUCAUCUGCCACAUAAAGCCGCUGUGCCAUUUCAUGUCAACUCCAACGACUUAUCUCCAUAACCCCAACUUCCUUUGAACCCCUCUUCUCCCUCCUCUCUUUAUGUAACAGAAAUCUCGAAUUUUCAGAUUUUUUUUAUCCGUUUCUCACCAGGAAAGAUUUGAAGAAACAAAACCAUUUCACCAAAUUGCUUUAAAUGGGAUACCUUUCUUGUAAGGCAGAAUCAGCUAUUGCCAUCUCCAGCACAACUUGUCAAUUUACUUCCAAAACCGCCCAAAACAAAGUAGAAAAGCCCAUCAAGAUCCAGCAGUUUCACUACAGUGAUCUUGAGGCAGCUACCAAUGGUUUUUCUGACCAGAAACUCCUAGGCAGAGGCAGCCAUGGCUGUGUCUACAA